UGGGGAAUAUUGCACAAUGGGCGCAAGCCUGAUGCAGCCAUGCCGCGUGUAUGAUGAAGGCCUUCGGGUUGUAAAGUACUUUCAGCGGGGAGGAAGGGAGUAAAGUUAAUACCUUUGCUCAUUGACGUUACCCGCAGAAGAAGCACCGGCUAACUCCGUGCCAGCAGCCGCGGUAAUACGGAGGGUGCAAGCGUUAAUCGGAAUUACUGGGCGUAAAGCGCACGCAGGCGGUUUGUUAAGUCAGAUGUGAAAUCCCCGGGCUCAACCUGGGAACUGCAUCUGAUACUGGAAAGCUUGAGUCUCGUAGAGGGGGGUAGAAUUCCAGGUGUAGAGGUGAAAUGCGUAGAGAUCUGGAGGAAUACCAGUGGCGAAGGCGGCCCCCUGGACGAAGACUGACGCUCAGGUGCGAAAGCGUGGGGAGCAAACAGG
Molecule: ribosomal RNA, 429 nt
Filed under: Chloroflexota bacterium
Lineage: Bacteria; Bacillati; Chloroflexota
Description: Chloroflexi bacterium partial 16S ribosomal RNA
Rfam family: Bacterial small subunit ribosomal RNA
Source: RNAcentral